This 398-nucleotide unclassified non-coding RNA is filed under the name Hevea brasiliensis (rubber tree). Lineage: Eukaryota; Viridiplantae; Streptophyta; Magnoliopsida; Malpighiales; Euphorbiaceae. The record is from RNAcentral.
AGAGCUGAGGUAUAUACCCAUCUCAAUCUGCCCAACUGGGCUGCGUACGGAGCUUGAGAUCAGAAGCAAAGGAUCAGAAAGAGCGAACGGUACGUAGAACUGAAAUGUUCCCAAAACUAAGGAAGACCUAUCAGGGUCAUCCAAGAAUCAGAGAAACAAAAGAAGAAAAAAAAAAACUAUAAUUAGGUGACAAGAACAAGAAUUCAAAAAAUAAAAGGACAAAGACACAUACUUUGGUAAGAGAAGAAUAUAAAACUAGAAAAGAAUAGAAACUUGAUCGAGAAAUGAUGAUGUUUUGGAGCUCCGGUGACUGAGGUAUUCUGAUGUGAAUAAGGAUUUUGAAAUCUUGAUAGAAAUGGAAAAUUAGAACGCUCUGGAUUUAACUGUUACGGUUUCUA